Non-coding RNA from Oryctolagus cuniculus (rabbit), 3774 nucleotides. The record is from RefSeq and is a predicted model, not a curated record. Lineage: Eukaryota; Metazoa; Chordata; Mammalia; Lagomorpha; Leporidae.
CAAUCCAGCUCUCUGCUAUGGCCUGGGAAAGCAGUGGGAGAUGGCCAGGUCCUUGGGCCCCUGUACCCACAUGGGAGACCUGGAGGAAGCUCCUGGAUCCUGGCUUUGGAUCAGUGCAGCUCUGGCCCUUGUGACCACCUGGGGAGUGAACCAACGGAUAGAAGACCUCUCUCUCUCUGCCUCAGCCUCUCUGUAACUCUGCCUUUCACAUAAAUAAAUAAAUACAUCUUUUUUUUUUAGUUGUAAUUAUAACAACUUUAAAUUUACAAUUCUGUGAUAUUUAAUAUGCUCACAAUUUUCUCUAAUCAUUACAACUAUGUAAUUCCAGAAUUAUUCUUAUUACCCUAAAAGGAAACCCAAUUUUCAGAACAUGCUUAACAAACAGAAGUUUAGACUCUCAUUUCCAAAUGCCUGCAUUUGGGAGGGAGACCUCGGAGAGGGGUUCCAUUGUAACUGUGAUCUCCAAAGGGGGUUUAAUGACUGGUCUAUUGUAUAUUACAAAGAGCUUGCGCAAAGUGUAGCUAAGAGGCAUUCCAUAGAGAGGCUAGGCAGGUCCUAGAUAUUUUGCUAGAAACCAGCACUCAGUUCCACACUUUGAGCUCCUGCAGCAGAGACAAUCGGACACGAGGACCUGCUGGUGAUGAAACGCAACAGUAAAUAAACCUUGUCAUAUUGGUCACUGUGUCCUUAGCAUCCCACCACUCCAGGCCAUCCUACUCAACCAUUUUUUUCUAACAGCCACUUUCAAGUUAAAGGCAGACAUGUGAGGAAGACCUGAUUUUGUAGGUUAGUAUCAAAACCAACACCUGCAGCUAUGCUAAAUCUAGCGUGCGAGUACAUGAACUAAUGUCUGACUUUUGCACUCAGGUGGAUAUGAAGCAUCCCACCCGCUAAGGGCCCUUGUGUCACACCUCCAGCUACUGUAUGUGUGGUUCAGAAUAGGUUUCUUGCAACACUUGUCAUCCAACAGCCCUGCGGGGUAGGCAGGACAAGAUUACUGAUCUGAUUCACAGGGUGUAGGGCAUUGAGGAAGCUUUGGGCUGAGAGUAGCAGAACUUUAAAUUAUGAGAAUGACUACAAAUAAAGACAAAACUGGGUUUCCCACAAGUGGAGGAAGCUAAUUAAAAUUACCCCUUUACAAGACAGAAUUUAUGUAUCUGUCAGUUACCUAUGAACCAGUGAACAGGGCUCAAAGAUGAUGUAACAGAGCUGGGGUCUGGUCACAUGUAAGGAUAUGACACUGAUGUGCAUGAUUUCCAUUAAAACACAAGACACUGGGGCCAGCACUGUGGCAUAGCAGGUAAAGCCACCACCUGCAGUGCCAGAAUCUCACAUGGGCGCCAGUUUGAGUCCCCACUGCUCCUGGUUUCAGAUCGGCCUAGCUCCAGCCAUUGUGGCCAAUUGGGGAGUGAAGCAGCAGAUAAAAGACUCUCUCUCUUUCUCUCUCUCUCUCUCUCUCUCUCUCUGCCUCUCCUUCUCUUACUGUGUAACUCUGACUUUCAAAUAAAUAAAUAAAUCUUUUAAAAAAAUAAUAUGACUUCAAAUUACUGAGUCAUAAAUUCUGUAAGAAAAAAAAUUCUAGACCCAAACAUAGUGUGUCACAAGGAAGGCAUUUUGAGGGUUAGAAGCUGGGCAAGCCUGAGACCAGCACAUUAGAACUCUGAGCUUAGAACCCCAUACCCAGACAAUGAGGCCAAGUUCAAAGACAGACUCCCGGUAAACACGUCUUGGAAUCUAAGCAAAGCAGCUGGUGGAACCCAAAAGGUCAAGAGAGGAGUCAAAGAGUCCUCUGGGGCCAAAGUCAAGGAGAGGAGACACUGACUGAGACUGAUCACCUGCAGCAGGACAGCCUCGUGCGCACCCAUCCUAUUGAUCCUCCAGCUCUGGGACCUCUACCCACGGUGUGCUGGAGCCAUGCACGCCCUUGCCUCCUCAGAGCUGCUCCCCGCAGUUUUGCAUCCUGCUUUGGGCCAGGACACAUCACUGGUUGUCCAAGCAUAGUCUCCUGACUACAGACAGUGUCCAAUUCAUUGGAAGUCCUAAUAGAACAAAGACUGACCCCAACGUGGAGAAGUUCUGCCUGCAGGUGGUCUUCAGACAGGAUCUGAAUCAUCAGCAUUUCCUGUGUCUCCAGGCUGCCCACCCACUCUACAGAUUCUGGAUUUGUCAGCCUCCACAAUCAUAGCAGUCACUGACACUGCAUAGCUGUGGGGAUCCCAGCUGUGUAUCUGGAACGUUCGAGUGGAUAACGUGCACGCACAUGGCUGCGUGAGGCGUACAGCAGAGCUGGGCUGGGCCCUGUGUGCAGCUGAAAGGCCAGAGGCUGCUCCUCCAUCAGCUCAAGGGACUGGUGCCAUGCUAGUACUCUCAUGGGCCACACAAGUCUCCAAGUAAUUUCUGCAGAGCAAGGAAUCAGCCAAGGUGAGAACAAUCAGGCGUGAAUGCUUGUGUCUCUCUCACCCCAUGUCUCUGUGUCUGGGUUUCUGCUCUAAAUUGUCAGUGCUGGGAAGGGUGCAGGAUAGCAAGUCCUUCUACCCAGCAUUGGCAGAACUCUUUUGGAUUCAGCCUUCCUGGAAAGCUAAUUAGCAAUGUACACAAAAAAUAUUUCAAAGUCUGUGCUGUCUAAUUCUGCCUACAUGAAUCUAUCUUAAGGUAAUAAUCCACUCAAUGAAAUGACAAAAGGAAAAAAUAUGGCAGGAUAAAAACUAUGGAUAAAGCCAUGCACAUAUGUAGUAUAAGGCAAGCUAUUUUAAGUACAUUUAGGAAAAAAAAAAAAGGCUUGAACAAAAUAUACCAAAAAGGAUUGGCAAGGGUCCCCCCCUCCUUGGCCCAAAUUCAUUAGUUGGAGCCCUACCCCCUGGUGUGUUGAUAUCAGGGAGUGGGGGCUUUAGGUUUCACUGAGGUCAUGAGGGACACUAAUCCCCUUACGAUGGGAUUAGUGUCCAUUAGACAUUAGAGCCCUCUCCACUCUGUGGGGCUGCAGGAAGAAGGAGGCCCUGUAGAAGCCCAGGAGGGACCCUCACCAGAACUAGAACCAGACCAAUGCUGGCUCCCUGAUCUGCCUCCCGGAUUCCAGAGCUGUGGGAAAUCAAUGCUUGUUGCGGUAUUUUGCUAUAAUGCGUCUGUGGUAUUUUGCUACAGCAGUUCAAGCAGACGGUGACAAUGAACAGUAGUCACAUCUGAGUUUGUGAGGUUAUGGGCAACUUUUAUUUGUUCUGUUCAUAAUUUUCCACCAUUUCUCACAAACUUUGUGAUUUUCACUUUAAUUUUUAUAAGACCUAAUUACUUAUUACUAUGUAACUACCUUCCCAUUGUAAAAACAAAACAGAAAUAUAGAAUAGAACAUAAAAAUUCUCUUUUAACAUAUUCUCCUGACAGUUCUUCUCAGUGGGUUUGGUUUCUCAAAGAUAAGCGCCAAUAACUGUUACACAUACACACAUAUAUUUUUCCAGGUUUCCUACUUUGUCUACACAAACAUGCAAAUCUAUGGAAGGAAACAGGCAUAGUUAGAGUAUGACUUUUUAAAAAAUUAUUUCUGGAUGGGGGCCAGCACUGUGGGGUAGUGGGUAAAGCCGCCGCCUGCAGUACCAGCAUCCCAUAUGGGCGCCUGUUUGAGGCCCAGAUGCUCAACUUCCGAUCCAGCUCUCUGCUAUGACAUGAGAAAGCAGUAGAAGAUGGCCCAAGUCCUUGAACCCCUGCACCCGCAUGGGAGAACUAGAAGAAGCUCCUGGCUUCUGGCUUCAGAUUGGAGCAGCUCCACCGUUGUGGCCAAUU